Molecule: ribosomal RNA, 765 nt
Filed under: uncultured Gammaproteobacteria bacterium
Lineage: Bacteria; Pseudomonadati; Pseudomonadota; Gammaproteobacteria
Description: bacterial SSU rRNA
Rfam family: Bacterial small subunit ribosomal RNA
Source: RNAcentral
UGCAGUCGUGCGAGAAGUAUCUUCGGAUAUGAGUAGAGCGGCGGACGGGUGAGUAACGCGUAGGAAUCUACCUAGUAGAAGGGGAUAGCCCGGGGAAACUCGGAUUAAUACCGUAUACCUCCUUCGGGAGAAAGAGGGCCUCUCUUUGAAGCUUUCGCUAUUAGAUGAGCCUGCGUAAGAUUAGCUUGUUGGUGAGGUAAAGGCUCACCAAGGCAACGAUCUUUAGCGGGUCUGAGAGGACGAUCCGCCACAUUGGGACUGAGACACGGCCCAGACUCCUACGGGAGGCAGCAGUGGGGAAUAUUGGACAAUGGGCGCAAGCCUGAUCCAGCCAUACCGCGUGUGUGAAGAAGGCCCUAGGGUUGUAAAGCACUUUAAGUUGGGAAGAAAAGUUAUUGGUUAAUACCCAAUAACCGUGACAUUACCUUCAGAAUAAGGACCGGCUAAUUCCGUGCCAGCAGCCGCGGUAAUACGGAAGGUCCAAGCGUUAAUCGGAAUUACUGGGCGUAAAGCGCGCGUAGGUGGUUUAUUAAGUUGGAUGUGAAAUCCCCGGGCUCAACCUGGGAACUGCAUCCAAAACUGAUUCACUAGAGUACGAUAGAGGGAGGUAGAAUUCACAGUGUAGCGGUGGAAUGCGUAGAUAUUGUGAAGAAUACCAAUGGCGAAGGCAGCCUCCUGGAUCUGUACUGACACUAAGGUGCGAAAGCGUGGGUAGCGAACAGGAUUAGAUACCCUGGUAGUCCACGCCGUAAACGAUGUCAACUA